GCUCGGACGAACCCGCCGACAAACGGCUCCGUCCCGACGCCCCCUCGGGGCUCCCGGGACCCCCCAACUUUUCCGGGGGGGACCCCAACCCCUCCUACAACUACUGGUACCAGCACGGCUACGGCACCUACGGCUACCAGAGCCCCUGGGGCUACGGCCACUACCACGGGCAGAGCUGAGGGGGGUCUGCACCCCCACCCUGUACAGACUGUGGGACCCCUCCCCCAAAAUUUGGGGUGGGGGGGGCGUUGUAAAUAAAGAGGCUGCGAGGA
Onychostruthus taczanowskii (white-rumped snowfinch) is the source of this 272-nucleotide long non-coding RNA. RefSeq lists it as uncharacterized. The record is from RefSeq and is a predicted model, not a curated record. NCBI's taxonomy places the organism in Eukaryota, Metazoa, Chordata, Aves, Passeriformes, Passeridae. The transcript has 2 exons.